This 28-nucleotide non-coding RNA is filed under the name Rattus norvegicus (Norway rat). Lineage: Eukaryota; Metazoa; Chordata; Mammalia; Rodentia; Muridae. The record is from RNAcentral.
UCAGAGAAACUAAAGCUGUUUAGGCAUU